RNAcentral lists this ribosomal RNA (437 nucleotides) under Paraplea sp. MBH-2004. RNAcentral's name for it is "partial 16S ribosomal RNA". The record is from RNAcentral. Lineage: Eukaryota; Metazoa; Arthropoda; Insecta; Hemiptera; Pleidae.
GUCCUUUUGUUAUUUUAUAUAAGGUCUAACCUGCCCAAUGAAUAUUUUAAUGGCCGCAGUAUUCUAACUGUGCAAAGGUAGCAUAAUCAUUUGUCUUUUAAAUGGAGGCUGGUAUGAAUGGUUGGACGAGAUAUAAUCUUUCUUAUUUUUAUUAAUUAAAAUUUAAUUUUUUAGUUAAAAAGCUAAAAUAAAUUUAUAGGACGAGAAGACCCUAUAGAAUUUUAUUUAUGUAAAUUUUAUUUAUUUUUAUUAUAUAAAUAUUAAUUUUAUUUAUAUAAAUUUUGUUGGGGUGACAUGAAACUUUUAAUAACUUUUCAUUUAUUUAUAUCAUUAAUUUAUGUUUUUAUGAUCCAUUUUUAUUGAUUAUAAGAUUAAAUUACCUUAGGGAUAACAGCGUUAUCUUAUUGGAGAGUUCUUAUCGAUAAUAAGGUUUGCGA